CUUUAAACAGCCUCAGUUUGUGAUUCUGAGAUCUCUAAUUAAGAUACAUCUCAUUACUUGACUGGCAACAUUUUCUUCAGCUAAAUCCAAAAAACAUUGACCAGAAAAGCCUCACUCCUCUAGCAGACUGAAUGCUGCUCCCUUAUUUGCAGGCUUUCACCUGGGGCUCCUGAGGGUGUGAGCGUUGUGCCCGGUUGAGCUAUUAAAUGACCAGCAUUUCCCAAAAGAACGUGAAAGGAUUCCCAGCUUGCAACCUCCAAGCGACUGUGCAGAGGUGACAUGCUGUGAAACAGAAUGAGAUGACAGAUGCCAUCUAAGUGACAAUGUUGCUCUGCACCAAUUUUUUCACUCACUGGAAUGGAUGAUACUUGAGGAAACCAGCUCACUGAUUACUGGAUUGUGCCAUCUGAAGCUGAGAUCCAAGAGAUUUUAUAUCCUCUGAGAACCAUAUAUCCUGGAGAAAACUGAUUUAUGUAGAAAAUGGUUUUCACCUAGCAUAACAUACUGUGAAGGAAAAAUGAGAGACAAUUAAACAAACUGUCUGCCUUCCUAAGUUAGAACUUUCUCCAUUCCAGCUAAGGAGGUAAAUAAUAAGACAUUAUCUAUUAUUGCAUUUCUCUAUUAUUGAAUCAGCUUUAAAUAAAAGUCUUGAU
RNAcentral lists this long non-coding RNA (653 nucleotides) under Zonotrichia albicollis (white-throated sparrow). RNAcentral describes it as "lncRNA (ENSZALG00000016303.1)". The record is from RNAcentral. Lineage: Eukaryota; Metazoa; Chordata; Aves; Passeriformes; Passerellidae.